RNAcentral lists this transfer RNA (77 nucleotides) under Xylanibacter rarus. Its description in RNAcentral is "Prevotella sp. 109 tRNA-Met". It matches the Rfam family "tRNA". Rfam says of the family: Transfer RNA (tRNA) molecules are approximately 80 nucleotides in length. Their secondary structure includes four short double-helical elements and three loops (D, anti-codon, and T loops). Further hydrogen bonds mediate the characteristic L-shaped molecular structure. tRNAs have two regions of fundamental functional importance: the anti-codon, which is responsible for specific mRNA codon recognition, and the 3' end, to which the tRNAs corresponding amino acid is attached (by aminoacyl-tRNA synthetases). tRNAs cope with the degeneracy of the genetic code in two manners: having more than one tRNA (with a specific anti-codon) for a particular amino acid; and 'wobble' base-pairing, i.e. permitting non-standard base-pairing at the 3rd anti-codon position. Lineage: Bacteria; Pseudomonadati; Bacteroidota; Bacteroidia; Bacteroidales; Prevotellaceae. The record is from RNAcentral.
GGGCUUUUAGCUCAGUUGGUUAGAGCAACAGACUCAUAAUCUGGAGGUCCCAGGUUCAAGCCCUGGAUGGCCCACCG